RNAcentral lists this long non-coding RNA (298 nucleotides) under Hordeum vulgare. RNAcentral describes it as "long non-coding RNA (HVUL_LNC015028)". Lineage: Eukaryota; Viridiplantae; Streptophyta; Magnoliopsida; Poales; Poaceae. The record is from RNAcentral.
UGGUGCGAGGCGGCGAGCUCGGGGUUCAUCAGGUCGUCGAUGUCCUUCGCGGCGGCGCCUCCCUCCCCGCUGCUGCCAGCGGCAGCAGGGUUGCGGUGCUUGGCCUUCUUCCCCUAGAGGAACCGCACCUUGCGGUCCCGGUGCAGUCAUCGUCGUUGUCGCCGGCGGUGGUCGUGGGUAGGGGGCCCUUGGUGCCGCGCUGAGAUGGGGACGAGGGAGGACGGGGAGUAGGUGGCGGCGGAGAGGAGAUGGGGAGGAGGGGUCGAUGGGAUCUGAGGUAGGGUUUGGCCUGCGGGUG